AGUUGCGAACGGGUGAGUAACGCGUAGGUAACCUGCCUGGUAGCGGGGGAUAACUAUUGGAAACGAUAGCUAAUACCGCAUAAUAUUGAUUAUUGCAUGAUAAUUGAUUGAAAGAUGCAACUGCAUCACUACCAGAUGGACCUGCGUUGUAUUAGCUAGUAGGUGAGGUAACGGCUCACCUAGGCGACGAUACAUAGCCGACCUGAGAGGGUGAUCGGCCACACUGGGACUGAGACACGGCCCAGACUCCUACGGGAGGCAGCAGUAGGGAAUCUUCGGCAAUGGACGAAAGUCUGACCGAGCAACGCCGCGUGAGUGAAGAAGGUUUUCGGAUCGUAAAGCUCUGUUGUAAGAGAAGAACGGGUGUGAGAGUGGAAAGUUCACACUGUGACGGUAUCUUACCAGAAAGGGACGGCUAACUACGUGCCAGCAGCCGCGGUAAUACGUAGGUCCCGAGCGUUGUCCGGAUUUAUUGGGCGUAAAGCGAGCGCAGGCGGUUAGAUAAGUCUGAAGUUAAAGGCUGUGGCUUAACCAUAGUACGCUUUGGAAACUGUUUAACUUGAGUGCAGAAGGGGAGAGUGGAAUUCCAUGUGUAGCGGUGAAAUGCGUAGAUAUAUGGAGGAACACCGGUGGCGAAAGCGGCUCUCUGGUCUGUAACUGACGCUGAGGCUCGAAAGCGUGGGGAGCGAACAGGAUUAGA
RNAcentral lists this ribosomal RNA (700 nucleotides) under uncultured bacterium. Its description in RNAcentral is "bacterial SSU rRNA". It matches the Rfam family "Bacterial small subunit ribosomal RNA", at positions 94 to 782 of the family's 1533-position model. The record is from RNAcentral.